RNAcentral lists this ribosomal RNA (459 nucleotides) under uncultured bacterium. RNAcentral's name for it is "partial 16S ribosomal RNA". It matches the Rfam family "Bacterial small subunit ribosomal RNA", at positions 338 to 795 of the family's 1533-position model. The record is from RNAcentral.
CCUACGGGCGGCAGCAGUGAGGAAUAUUGGUCAAUGGACGCAAGUCUGAACCAGCCAUGCCGCGUGCAGGAAGACGGCUCUAUGAGUUGUAAACUGCUUUUGUACGAGGGUAAACGCAGAUACGCGUAUCUGUCUGAAAGUAUCGUACGAAUAAGGAUCGGCUAACUCCGUGCCAGCAGCCGCGGUAAUACGGAGGAUGCGAGCGUUAUCCGGAUUUAUUGGGUUUAAAGGGUGCGUAGGCGGUCCGGAAAGUCAGCGGUAAAAGCCCGGGGCUCAACCCCGGCGAGCCGUUGAAACUGUCGGACUAGAGACGGCGAGAAGUACGCGGAAUGCGCGGUGUAGCGGUGAAAUGCAUAGAUAUCGCGCAGAACUCCGAUUGCGAAGGCAGCGUACUGGCGCCGGACUGACGCUGAGGCACGAAAGCGUGGGUAUCGAACAGGAUUAGAUACCCUUGUAGUC